Molecule: non-coding RNA, 657 nt
Organism: Nelumbo nucifera (sacred lotus)
Lineage: Eukaryota; Viridiplantae; Streptophyta; Magnoliopsida; Proteales; Nelumbonaceae
Source: RefSeq, a predicted model, not a curated record
CAAGAGUAAGACUAAUACCUUAACAUAAAGAACCAACAGUCAAUUCGAACUUUCAGAUGAGGCACCAUUUCUCACCUUUGGAGAAGGACUUUUGGAUCUUCAAGUCAAGCCCAUCACCUCUAUAAAUUGUUCAAACUCCAUGGAUUUUCAAACACACAGAGCAAGUAUUGCUCUCAGUCUUCUGCCUGAGAGAACUUCAAAGAUACCUUCUCUGUUUGUCAUCUGUUUUCUUGGUUUGUCAGCUAUGUUCACAUGGGUUUAUGAUAUAUUCCAUCUCUUGCACACUGGAGCAGCUUUCUGUCCCUGGGCUGGUGUGCAAGAGAUGGAAUGCAUCAUUAAUGCGUGCCUUUCUUGCCAGUGAAGUGUGGAGUGUUAUCAUCCACUGUUGUUAUGCAUGAAAGCUGAGGUUCCCAUGUCUCCAGGUCAAUGAUCCUUGCUUCUUCCUACAGGAGAGGCUCUACUUCAGAGGGUAGAUCAUAAACUCCCCAUGAUUUUCGAUUGUGGGGUGGCAAAGGAAUCAAAUUUCAUUGUUGAAAUGGGAUAUUUGUGUAAGAAAAAUUGGUGUAAGCUCUUGGGAAGAUCAUGGUUCUUGUAUCUCGAAAAAAGAAAUUCUCUUUGACAAAUUUGAGUCUUUUCAGGAUUUGAUUCCUCAUUAUA